RNAcentral lists this unclassified non-coding RNA (304 nucleotides) under plant metagenome. Its description in RNAcentral is "partial contains 5.8S ribosomal RNA, internal transcribed spacer 2, and large subunit ribosomal RNA". The stretch from base 1 to 104 matches the Rfam family "5.8S ribosomal RNA", at positions 51 to 154 of the family's 154-position model. The record is from RNAcentral.
AAAUGCGAUAAGUAAUGUGAAUUGCAGAAUUCAGUGAAUCAUCGAAUCUUUGAACGCACAUUGCGCCCGCCAGUAUUCUGGCGGGCAUGCCUGUUCGAGCGUCAUUUCAACCAUCAAGCCCCCGGCUUGUGUUGGGGACCUGCGGCUGCCCGCAGGCCCUGAAGAACAGUGGCGGGCUCGCUGUCACACCGAGCGUAGUAGCAUACAUUCUCGCUCAGGGCGUGCUGCGGGUUCCGGCCGUUAAACGACCUUCAUAACCCAAGGUUGACCUCGGAUCAGGUAGGAAGACCCGCUGAACUUAAGC